GACGAACGCUGGCGGCGUGCCUAACACAUGCAAGUCGAACGGAGAAUUUCAAUAAGCUUGCUUAGAGAGAUUUUUAGUGGCGGACGGGUGAGUAACGCGUGGGUAACCUACCCAUAAAGUCGGGACAACCCUUGGAAACGAGGGCUAAUACCGAAUAAUCUUAGAUUUUGGCAUCAAGAUUUAAGGAAAGGUGGCCUCUUUAUAUGCUACCGAUUAUGGAUGGACCCGCGUCUGAUUAGCUAGUUGGUGGGGUAAAGGCCUACCAAGGCGACGAUCAGUAGCCGGCCUGAGAGGGUGAUCCCCCACAAUGGAACUGAAACACGGUCCAUACACCUGCGGGUGGCAGCAGUAGGGAAUAUUGCUUAAUGGGCGAAAGCCUGAAGCAGCAACGCCGCGUGAACGAAGAAGGCCUUCGGGUCGUAAAGUUCUUUUACGUGGGAUGAGGAAGGACAGUACCACGAGAAUAAGGAUCGGCUAACUCCGUGCCAGCAGCCGCGGUAAUACGGAGGAUCCGAGCGUUAUCCGGAUUUAUUGGGUUUAAAGGGUGCGCAGGCGGCAUGUUAAGUCGGCGGUGAAAUUUUGCAGCUCAACUGUAAAAGAGCCUUCGAAACUGGCAAGCUUGAGUGUGGAUGAAGUAGGCGGAAUUUGUGGUGUAGCGGUGAAAUGCAUAGAUAUCACAAAGAACACCGAUUGCGCAGGCAGCUUACUAAACCAUAACUGACGCUCAUGCACGAAAGGCGUGGGGAUCAAACAGGAUUAGAUACCCUGGUAGUCCACGCAGUAAACGAUGAUUACUGGCUGUUUGCGAUACAAUAUAAGCGGCUGAGCGAAAGCGUUAAGUAAUCCACCUGGGGAGUACGUUCGCAAGAAUGAAACUCAAAGGAAUUGACGGGGGCCCGCACAAGCGGAGGAACAUGUGGUUUAAUUCGAUGAUACGCGAGGAACCUUACCCGGGCUUGAAAUGCAUCUGACGUAUUCGGAAACGGAUAUUCCCUACGGGGCAGAUGUGUAGGUGCUGCAUGGUUGUCGUCAGCUCGUGUCGUGAGAUGUUGGGUUAAGUCCCGCAACGAGCGCAACCCCUGUUGCCAGUUACAAGUGUCUGGCGAGACUGCCGGUAUCAAGCCGGAGGAAGGUGGGGAUGACGUCAAGUCAGCAUGACCUUUAUAUCUGGGGCUACACACACGCUACAAUGGUCGGUACAAUGCGUUGCCAAGCCGCGAGGCGGAGCUAAUCACAGCAAAACCGGCCUCAGUUCGGAUAGGAGGCUGCAACCCGCCUCCUUGAAGUCGGAGUUGCUAGUAAACGCCGGUCAGCUAUACGGCGUUGAAUACGUUCCCGGGCCUUGUACACACCGCCCGUCACGUCAUGGGAGCUGGUAACACCUGAAGUCGGUGCGCCAACCGCAAGGAGGCAGCUGCCGAGGGUGGGACUGGUGACUGGGACG
RNAcentral lists this ribosomal RNA (1444 nucleotides) under uncultured bacterium. RNAcentral's name for it is "partial 16S ribosomal RNA". It matches the Rfam family "Bacterial small subunit ribosomal RNA". The record is from RNAcentral.